This 515-nucleotide ribosomal RNA is filed under the name uncultured bacterium. Its description in RNAcentral is "partial 16S ribosomal RNA". It matches the Rfam family "Bacterial small subunit ribosomal RNA", at positions 28 to 523 of the family's 1533-position model. The record is from RNAcentral.
GACGAACGCUGGCGGCGUGCCUAAUACAUGCAAGUCGAGCGAAUGGAUUAAGAGCUUGCUCUUAUGAAGUUAGCGGCGGACGGGUGAGUAACACGUGGGUAACCUGCCCAUAAGACUGGGACAACUCCGGGAAACCGGGGCUAAUACCGGAUAACAUUUUGAACCGCAUGGUUCGAAAUUGAAAGGCGGCUUCGGCUGUCACUUAUGGAUGGACCCGCGUCGUAUUAGCUAGUUGGUGAGGUAACGGCUCACCAAGGCAACGAUGCGUAGCCGACCUGAGAGGGUGAUCGGCCACACUGGGACUGAGACACGGCCCAGACUCCUACGGGAGGCAGCAGUAGGGAAUCUUCCGCAAUGGACGAAAGUCUGACGGAGCAACGCCGCGUGAGUGAUGAAGGCUUUCGGGUCGUAAAACUCUGUUGUUAGGGAAGAACAAGUGCUAGUUGAAUAAGCUGGCACCUUGACGGUACCUAACCAGAAAGCCACGGCUAACUACGUGCCAGCCGCCGCGGUAA